GUUUGAUCCUGGCUCAGGAUGAACGCUGGCUGUGUGCCUAAUACAUGCAUGUCGAACGAAGUACUUGUACUUAGUGGCAAAUGGGUGAGUAACACGUACCUAACUUGCCUUUUAGAUUGGGACAACCACGGGAAACUGUGGCUAAUACCAAAUAUGUAUAAAAAACAUAUGUUUUUUAUAUGAAAGGAAGCGAUUGCUUUGCUAAAAGAUAGGGGUGCGCUACAUUAGCUUGUUGGUAGGGUAAAAGCCUACCAAGGCUAUGAUGUAUAGUGGGAUCGAGAGGUUGAACCACCACACUGGGAUUGAGAUACGGCCCAGACUCCUACGGGAGGCAGCAGUAGGGAAUAUUCCACAAUGAGCGAAAGCUUGAUGGAGCGACACAGCGUGUAGGAUGAAUGCCUUAGGGUUGUAAACUACUGUUAUAAGAGAAGAAUAGCUAAAAAAGGAAAUGUUUUUAGUCUGACGGUAUCUUAUCAGAAAGCAGUUGCAAACUAUGUGCCAGCAGCAGCGGUAAUACAUAGACUGCAAGCGUUAUCCGGAAUUAUUGGGCGUAAAGCAUUCGUAGGUUGUUUAUUAAGUUUGGUGUUAAAAACAAAAGCUCAACUUUUGUUUGCAUUAAAUACUAAUAGACUAGAGUUAUAAAGAGGUUAAUGGAACUCCAUAUGAAGCGGUGGAAUGCGUAGAUAUGUGGAAGAACACCAAUGGCGAAGGCAAUUAACUGGAUAUACACUGACACUGAGGGAUGAAAGCGUGGGGAGCAAACAGGAUUAGAUACCCUGGUAGUCCACGCUGUAAACGAUGUUUGUUAAUCGGUGGUGAAAUCACUGAUACAGCUAACGCAAUAAACAAACCGCCUGAGUAGUAUGCUCGCAAGAGUGAAACUUAAAGGAAUUGACGGGGAGCCGCACAAGCGGUGGAGCAUGUGGUUUAAUUCGAUGCUACGCGAAGCACCUUACCAACAUUUGACAUCUUUUGCAAAGGCAUAGAGAUAUGCUGGAGGAUAACAAAAAGACAGGUGGUGCAUGGCCGUCGUCAGCUCGUGCCGUGAGGUGUUGGGUUAAGUCCUAUAACGAGCGCAACCCUUUUCUUUAGUUACUAACAUUUAGUUGAGCACUCUAAAGAUACUGCCUAGGUAACUAGGAGGAAGGAGGGGAUGAGGUAGGUCAUCAUGCCUCUUACAUGUUGGGUUACACACGUGCUACAAUGGCAAAUACAAAGAGAAGCAAAAUCGUGAGGUGGAGCAAAUCUGUAAAAUUUGUCUCAGUUCGGAUUGGAGUCUGCAACUCGACUCCAUGAAGUAGGAAUCGCUAGUAAUCCUAGAUCAUCAAUGCUAGGGUGAAUACGUUCUCGGCUCUUGUACACACCGCCCGUCAAACCAUGGGAGUUGGUAAUACCCAAAGCUAGUUAGUUAACCAUUUAUUUGGAGGCAACUAUCUAAGGUAGGAUCAAUGACUGGGGUUAAGUCGUAACAAGGUAACC
RNAcentral lists this ribosomal RNA (1479 nucleotides) under uncultured Mycoplasma sp. Its description in RNAcentral is "bacterial SSU rRNA". It matches the Rfam family "Bacterial small subunit ribosomal RNA". Lineage: Bacteria; Bacillati; Mycoplasmatota; Mollicutes; Mycoplasmatales; Mycoplasmataceae. The record is from RNAcentral.